UGCAGUCGAACGAUACUACCGGGCUUGCUCGGUAGGAAAGUGGCGCACGGGUGCGUAACGCGUAUGCAACCUACCUUAAUCAGGGGGAUAGCCCGAAGAAAUUCGGAUUAACACCGCAUAAAAUCACAGUACAGCAUUGUACAAUGAUCAAAUAUUUAUAGGAUUAAGAUGGGCAUGCGUGUCAUUAGUUAGUUGGCGAGGUAACGGCUCACCAAGACCACGAUGACUAGGGGAUCUGAGAGGAUGACCCCCCACACUGGUACUGAGACACGGACCAGACUCCUACGGGAGGCAGCAGUAAGGAAUAUUGGUCAAUGGAGGCAACUCUGAACCAGCCAUGCCGCGUGCAGGAAGACAGCCCUCUGGGUCGUAAACUGCUUUUAUUCGGGAAUAAACCUACUUACGUGUAAGUAGCUGAAUGUACCGAAGGAAUAAGGAUCGGCUAACUCCGUGCCAGCAGCCGCGGUAAUACGGAGGAUCCAAGCGUUAUCCGGAUUUAUUGGGUUUAAAGGGUGCGUAGGCGGCUUAUUAAGUCAGGGGUGAAAGACGGUGGCUCAACCAUCGCAGUGCCCUUGAUACUGAUGAGCUUGAAUACACUAGAGGUAGGCGGAAUGUGACAAGUAGCGGUGAAAUGCAUAGAUAUGUCACAGAACACCGAUUGCGAAGGCAGCUUACUAUGGUGUUAUUGACGCUGAGGCACGAAAGCGUGGGGAUCAAACAGGAUUAGAUACCCUGGUAGUCCACGCCCUAAACGAUGAAUACUCGCUGUUAGCGAUACACAGUUAGCGGCUAAGCGAAAGCGUUAAGUAUUCCACCUGGGGAGUACGCCCGCAAGGGUGAAACUCAAAGGAAUUGACGGGGGCCCGCACAAGCGGAGGAGCAUGUGGUUUAAUUCGAUGAUACGCGAGGAACCUUACCCGGGCUUGAAAGUUAGUGAAUGAUCUAGAGAUAGAUCAGUGAGCAAUCACACGAAACUAGGUGCUGCAUGGCUGUCGUCAGCUCGUGCCGUGAGGUGUUGGGUUAAGUCCCGCAACGAGCGCAACCCCUAUGUUUAGUUGCCAGCACGUUAAGGUGGGGACUCUAAACAGACUGCCUGUGCAAACAGAGAGGAAGGAGGGGACGACGUCAAGUCAUCAUGGCCCUUACGUCCGGGGCUACACACGUGCUACAAUGGAUGGUACAGAGGGCAGCAAGCUGGCAACAGCAAGCAAAUCUCAAAAAGCCAUUCACAGUUCGGAUAGAGGUCUGCAACUCGACCUCUUGAAGUUGGAUUCGCUAGUAAUCGCGUAUCAGCAAUGACGCGGUGAAUACGUUCCCGGGCCUUGUACACACCGCCCGUCAAGCCAUGGAAGUUGGGGGUACCUAAAGUAUGUAACCGCAAGGAGC
RNAcentral lists this ribosomal RNA (1386 nucleotides) under Pedobacter steynii. RNAcentral describes it as "bacterial SSU rRNA". It matches the Rfam family "Bacterial small subunit ribosomal RNA". The record is from RNAcentral. Lineage: Bacteria; Pseudomonadati; Bacteroidota; Sphingobacteriia; Sphingobacteriales; Sphingobacteriaceae.